AACAAGGCGUACCUGCGGACCUGCGGAGGGAUCAUUAUCGAAUAAAACAUGGAUUAGGCUGUUGCUGACUUUUUGUACGUGCACGCCUAUUCCAUUUUUAUUAAACCACCUGUGCACUUUUGCGUAGAUCUGAGAAAAUCUUUCGAGUUGCGCGCAGCUCGGUUGAAGGGAUUGCUGUGUGCUUAUUUGCCAGCUUUUCCUUAUUCUAUCGCAGAUCUAUGCUCAUUACACAUACUCCAU
RNAcentral lists this unclassified non-coding RNA (240 nucleotides) under soil metagenome. RNAcentral's name for it is "partial contains 5.8S ribosomal RNA, internal transcribed spacer 2, and large subunit ribosomal RNA". The record is from RNAcentral.